UAAUACGAAGGGGGCUAGCGUUGUUCGGAAUUACUGGGCGUAAAGCGCGCGUAGGCGGUGAUCUUUGUCAGAGGUGAAAGCCUGGGGCUCAACCCCAGAAUUGCCUUUGAAACGGGAUCGCUAGAGUCCGAGAGAGGAUGGCGGAAUUCCUAGUGUAGAGGUGAAAUUCGUAGAUAUUAGGAAGAACACCGGUGGCGAAGGCGGCCAUCUGGCUCGGUACUGACGCUCAGGCGCGAAAGCGUGGGGAGCAAACAGG
This 256-nucleotide ribosomal RNA is filed under the name uncultured bacterium. Its description in RNAcentral is "partial 16S ribosomal RNA". It matches the Rfam family "Bacterial small subunit ribosomal RNA", at positions 521 to 776 of the family's 1533-position model. The record is from RNAcentral.